RNAcentral lists this ribosomal RNA (769 nucleotides) under Actinomadura luteofluorescens. Its description in RNAcentral is "bacterial SSU rRNA". It matches the Rfam family "Bacterial small subunit ribosomal RNA", at positions 89 to 871 of the family's 1533-position model. The record is from RNAcentral. Lineage: Bacteria; Bacillati; Actinomycetota; Actinomycetes; Streptosporangiales; Thermomonosporaceae.
ACUCGAGCGGCGAACGGGUGAGUAACACGUGAGCAACCUGCCCCUGACUCUGGGAUAAGCCCGGGAAACUGGGUCUAAUACCGGAUAUAACCACUGGUCUCAUGAUCGGGUGGUGGAAAGUUUUUCGGUUGGGGAUGGGCUCGCGGCCUAUCAGCUUGUUGGUGGGGUGAUGGCCUACCAAGGCGACGACGGGUAACCGGCCUGAGAGGGCGACCGGUCACACUGGGACUGAGACACGGCCCAGACUCCUACGGGAGGCAGCAGUGGGGAAUAUUGCGCAAUGGGCGGAAGCCUGACGCAGCGACGCCGCGUGAGGGAUGACGGCCUUCGGGUUGUAAACCUCUUUCAGCAGGGACGAAGCUAACGUGACGGUACCUGCAGAAGAAGCGCCGGCUAACUACGUGCCAGCAGCCGCGGUAAUACGUAGGGCGCAAGCGUUGUCCGGAAUUAUUGGGCGUAAAGAGCUCGUAGGCGGUUUGUCGCGUCUGUCGUGAAAGCCCACGGCUUAACCGUGGGUCUGCGGUGGAUACGGGCAGACUAGAGGCAGGUAGGGGAGAAUGGAAUUCCCGGUGUAGCGGUGAAAUGCGCAGAUAUCGGGAGGAACACCGGUGGCGAAGGCGGUUCUCUGGGCCUGUACUGACGCUGAGGAGCGAAAGCGUGGGGAGCGAACAGGAUUAGAUACCCUGGUAGUCCACGCCGUAAACGUUGGGCGCUAGGUGUGGGGUCCUUCCACGGAUUCCGCGCCGCAGCUAACGCAUUAAGCGCUCCG